This 2965-nucleotide ribosomal RNA is filed under the name Deltaproteobacteria bacterium RIFCSPHIGHO2_02_FULL_44_16. Its description in RNAcentral is "bacterial LSU rRNA". It matches the Rfam family "Bacterial large subunit ribosomal RNA". The record is from RNAcentral. RNAcentral also lists the same sequence under 1 other name. Lineage: Bacteria; Deltaproteobacteria.
UUGGUUAAGUUAUUAAGGGCAUGUGGUGGAUGCCUUGGCAUUCGGAGGCGAAGAAGGACGUGCCUAGCUGCGAUAAGCUACGGGGAGCUGCUUAGGAAGCUUUGAUCCGUAGAUUUCCGAAUGGGGAAACCCACCUGUCUUUAUCGACAGGUAUCAUGCACUGAAUUCAUAGGUGCAUGAAGCGAACGGAGGGAACUGAACCAUCUCAGUACCUCUAGGAAAAGACAUCAAUUGAGAUUCCCUAAGUAGCGGCGAGCGAAAGGGGAACAGCCUAAACCGAUUUCACUUCGGUGAAGUCGGGGUUGCGGGACUGCAAUAUGGGAUUGUCGGAGGAUAGGUGAACGAUCUGGAAAGGUCGGCCAUAGCGUGUGAUAGCCACGUAAUCGAAAUCCGAAGGCACCCUAGCAGUAUCCCAAGUACCACGGGACACGAGAAAUCUUGUGGGAAUCUGGGUGGACCAUCAUCCAAGGCUAAAUACUACCGAAUGACCGAUAGCGAACUAGUACCGCGAGGGAAAGGUGAAAAGCACCCCUAGUGGGGAGUGAAAAGUACCUGAAACCGCAUGCCUACAAGCAGCUAAAGGGCUAUGCCCAUCUUCGGAUGGGAAUGUCUGAUAGCGUGCCUUUUGCAUAAUGAGUCAGUGAGUUACUGUUUGCAGCAAGGUUAAGCUCUACACGAGCGAAGCCGUAGCGAAAGCGAGUCCUAACCGGGCGAUGAAGUUGCGGGCAGUAGACCCGAAACCAGUGUGAUCUAGCCAUGGGCAGGAUGAAGCGCGGGUAACACCGCGUGGAGGUCCGAACCGGUGAACGUUGAAAAGUUCUCGGAUGACCUGUGGCUAGGGGUGAAAGGCCAAUCAAACCUGGAGAUAGCUGGUUCUCCCCGAAAUAUAUUGAGGUAUAGCCUCGCAUGAAUACUCUCGGAGGUAGAGCACUGAAUGGGCUAGGGGUCUUACCAGAUUACCAAACCCAAUCAAACUCCGAAUGCCGAGAAGUACUGUGCGGGAGGCAGUCCAUGGGUGCUAAGGUCCUUGGACGAGAGGGAAAGAGCCCAGACCGCCAGCUAAGGUCCCAAAAUGAUAACUAAGUGUGAAAGGAUGUGGAAGUGCAUAGACAACCAGGAGGUUGGCUUAGAAGCAGCCAUCCUUUAAAGAAAGCGUAACAGCUCACUGGUCGAGUGAGUCUGCGCCGAAAAUUCAACGGGGCUAAAGUUAUCUACCGAAGCUGCGGAUUUCCUGCAGGGUUCGCCUUGCAGGGAGUGGUAGGGGAGCAUUCUGUAAGCCUGUGAAGGUCGACGGUAACGACGACUGGAGGUAUCAGAAGUGAUUAUGCUGACAUAAGUAGCGAUAAAACAUGUGAGAAACGUGUUCGCCGAAAGCCUAAGGUUUCCUGGGCAAGGUUAAUCCGCCCAGGGUUAGUCGGGGCCUAAGCCGAGGCCCAAGGGAGUAGGUGAUGGAGAACAGGUUAAUAUUCCUGUACCACUGCCGGCAUGUUAUUCGACGGAGGGACGGAGCGUGUAAGGUCAGCCACCUAUUGGAUGGUGGUUUAAGCGUAUAAGGAGGCGUUCAGGCAAAAUCCGGACGUCAAUCCCAAAGCGUGAUGACGAGAGGCGUUAAGCCUCACAAAGUGACCGGUUCAAGCUUCCAAGAAAAGCUUCGUCGUGAUGUCGGUGGUGCCCGUACCGUAAACGGACACACGUAGGCGAGUCGAGAAGACUAAGGCGCUUGAGAGAACCCUUGUUAAGGAACUUUGCAAGUUAACACCGUAACUUCGGAAGAAGGUGUGCCUCUGAAAGUGUAUCUAUAAGAAGAGAAGCUUUAUGAGGUCGCAGUGAACAGGUGGCGACGACUGUUUAUCAAAAACACAGGGCUCUGCUAAGUCGAAAGACGACGUAUAGGGUCUGACGCCUGCCCGGUGCCGGAAGGUUAAAGCGAGGGGUUAGCCGUAAGGCGAAGCUCUGAACUGAAGCCCCGGUAAACGGCGGCCGUAACUAUAACGGUCCUAAGGUAGCGAAAUUCCUUGUCGGGUAAGUUCCGACCUGCACGAAUGGCGUAACGAUUGCCACACUGUCUCAACAGGGGGCUCAGCGAAAUUGUACUGGCAGCGCAGAUGCUGCCUACCCGCAGCAAGACGGAAAGACCCUGUGCACCUUUACUACAACUUGGCAGUGAGCUUCGGAUAGGUUUGUGUAGGAUAGGUGGGAGGCUUUGAAGCCGAGGCGUUAGCUUCGGUGGAGCCAACCUUGAAAUACCACCCUGAUCUCUUUGAAGUUCUAACUUCCUUCCGUAAUCCGGAAGAAGGACAUUGUCUGGUGGGUAGUUUGACUGGGGCGGUUGCCUCCCAAAGAGUAACGGAGGCGCACGAAGGUUCCCUCAGGCUGAUUGGAAACCAGCCGGCGAGUGUAAGGGCAAAAGGGAGCUUAACUGCGAGACAUACAAGUCGAGCAGAUGCGAAAGCAGGUCCUAGUGAUCUGGUGGUCCCGUAUGGAAGGGCCAUCACUUAUCGGAUAAAAGGUACGCCGGGGAUAACAGGCUGAUCGCCGCCAAGAGUUCACAUCGACGCGGCGGUUUGGCACCUCGAUGUCGGCUCAUCACAUCCUGGGGCUGGAGUCGGUCCCAAGGGUUUGGCUGUUCGCCAAUUAAAGUGGUACGUGAGCUGGGUUCAGAACGUCGCGAGACAGUUCGGUCCCUAUCUGCUGUGGGCGAAGGAUACUUGAGAGGAGCUGUCCCUAGUACGAGAGGACCGGGAUGGACGUACCUCUGGUCCACCGGUUGUCGCGCCAGCGGCAUAGCCGGGUAGCUAUGUACGGAUCGGAUAACUGCUGAAAGCAUCUAAGCAGGAAACCGACCUCAAGAUAAGGUAUCCCUGAAGGUCACUUGAAGACGACGAGUUUGAUAGGCGGGGCGUGGAAGCGCAGUAAUGCGUGGAGCUGACCCGUACUAAUCGACCGAUCGACUUAACCAUUUAUU